AGUGAACGCUGGCGGUAAGCCUAACACAUGCAAGUCGAACGGCAGCACAGGAGAGCUUGCUCUCUGGGUGGCGAGUGGCGGACGGGUGAGGAAUACAUCGGAAUCUACUCUGUCGUGGGGGAUAACGUAGGGAAACUUACGCUAAUACCGCAUACGACCUACGGGUGAAAGCAGGGGACCUUCGGGCCUUGCGCGAUUGAAUGAGCCGAUGUCGGAUUAGCUAGUUGGCGGGGUAAAGGCCCACCAAGGCGACGAUCCGUAGCUGGUCUGAGAGGAUGAUCAGCCCCACUGGAACUGAGACACGGGCCAGACGCCUACGGGAAGCAGCAGGGGGGAAUAUUGGACAAUGGGCGCAAGCCUGAUCCAGCCAUACCGCGUGGGUGAAGAAGGCCUUCGGGUUGUAAAGCCCUUUUGUUGGGAAAGAAAUCCAGCUGGCUAAUACCCGGUUGGGAUGACGGUACCCAAAGAAUAAGCACCGGCUAACUUCGUGCCAGCCGCCGCCGUAA
This 506-nucleotide ribosomal RNA is filed under the name uncultured bacterium. RNAcentral describes it as "partial 16S ribosomal RNA". It matches the Rfam family "Bacterial small subunit ribosomal RNA", at positions 29 to 523 of the family's 1533-position model. The record is from RNAcentral.